Molecule: non-coding RNA, 28 nt
Organism: Rhodanobacter sp. SCN 67-45
Lineage: Bacteria; Pseudomonadati; Pseudomonadota; Gammaproteobacteria; Lysobacterales; Rhodanobacteraceae
Source: Rfam
GUUCGCUGCCGCAUAGGCAGCUCAGAAA